UUGAACAAUAAAUUACAUUUUAACUGGAUAUUUUAACAAUUCAAAAUUUACGUUUUUCACAUGAAAACUUUCCAUUUGUGAUGUACAUAUGUAGAUAUGACAUCAAAACUCCAAGUUGAUAGACAGCCAUAUAGCAGACAAAAUUGUACGUCAUUCUAAUCCUAACGACUUUUACUAGUAUUUCGAGUAUCCAACAACAGCGCAGCAUUAGGCUCAUUGAAGGUAUAAUAAAAAGGAGAAAUGCCUUGGAGAAAUGCUACAAAUAUUCUGAGGCACGUUGAGACAACUACGAAAAAUCAGCGACAAAUUUUAUUGUGUGCGGCACAAAGAGUUCUCAUGUUUGCGCUUUUGCUGCUUAACCACGCGGUCGGCUCACCGCGGCAACAAAUAAAUAAAUAAAUAAAUACAUGUCAUUGGCAUUGUUUUUAUACGGAACUAAUUGGCGUUUCUAAGAAGGUGCUGAUUUUGACAUUUAAAAAUCACUUCAAAAGCUCGAUCGAUUUAAUCAUUUACUUAAUGAUUAUAAGUGUUGAUGUUCUAAUUUGAUUUUGUUGACGCAGCUGGGGUAAUUAACUAAUUUGACAGCUAUUUAGAGGUUUAAAUUGCAACAUAA
This 613-nucleotide long non-coding RNA is filed under the name Ceratitis capitata (Mediterranean fruit fly). Its description in RNAcentral is "uncharacterized LOC110118389, transcript variant X2". Lineage: Eukaryota; Metazoa; Arthropoda; Insecta; Diptera; Tephritidae. The record is from RNAcentral.